Molecule: RNA transcript, 2248 nt
Organism: Zea mays
Lineage: Eukaryota; Viridiplantae; Streptophyta; Magnoliopsida; Poales; Poaceae
Exons: 6
Source: RefSeq, marked validated
CACACUGUAUAUACACUGUUUUAUUGAAUGAAGUUUAAAAUAAAAUUUUAGCUACACCCUGGAAUGAAAUAGGAAGUCAGAUAGCCUAAUAAUGCAUAUAGGCAGAAGCGAGCCCAUAUAUAUGGUGCGGAGCAUCGGCGCAGCCCCUUUCUCCGCCCCCCACCGCGCACCGCCCGACCAGCGACGGGAACCCACGCCGCCCCCUCUCCGCCCCGUGCAGUCGCUCCCCAGCUCCCGCGCCGCCGUUCCCUGCUAACCCCAUCCCCUUCGCCUCGCCUCGUGCUAAGAGAGCGCGGACCACUGCGGUGCCACGCCGACGCCUUCUGCCGGCCCCAGGUGGAUUCUGUCCGCAGACUCCUGGAGGUGCUGCUAUCUAGCCCCUUGAUCUGAGCUGAAAUUAGGUACGCUCAUGCCGUCUCCAUGGUCCAGGAGCUCUUCCGUUGCACGAAUCUUGGUUCAAUCUGUAGACGGGGGGAAGACGGGGGGUGCGGUUUGCUUAAGUGGCUGCGAUGCUAUGCUAAUGUGGAGAGAUGGGCAAAAAUGCCUUUUCCGGUCUCCUUUUGCUCUUGUGCAGGAGCUGAACCUGCCGGGCGAGCCGAUGUACGGCUCGCCGGUGUCCAAGGACCUCAACCUCCCGGUGCAGCCGCCCAUGGCCUCGUCCGGGCUGCUGAGGUACAGAUCGGCGCCCAGCACGGUGCUCGGCGACCUGUGCGAGGACUUCCUCUCUUCCGCGCCCCGCGCCGCCAGCCCUGACGCCGGCGCCGACAACGUCUUCUCCAGGUUCCUUGCUGACCACCACAUCCGGGACGACAAGCCGUCGCCGCUUGCCUCCGCCGCCGUCCACUUCCCGACUGAAACCGACACGGCCUCCCAGCAGCAGCAGCAGCAGAUGAUGUUCCACUCCCAGCAGCAGCAGGAGAUGGUGAGCGCCAAGUCCGGCCUUUACCGCACCGUGAACUCAGGCGUAGAAACCGCGGCCGCUGCUGGUGCCGGCGGGGCCAGCUCCAGUGACAACGCUAGCAACCUGAUUCGACAGAGCAGCUCCCCCGCCGGAUUCCUCGAUCAUUUGAACAUGGAGAACGGAUACGGGGCCAUGCUGAGGGCGGGCAUGGCCACGGCGGACUCCCUCGCAGGCGGCGGCAGCAGGCUAAAAGGGCAACUGAGCUUCUCGUCACGGCAGGGGUCAUUGAUGUCCCAGAUCUCAGAGAUGGACAGCGAGGAGGUCGGAGGGAGCAGCCCAGAGGCUUCCGGCGGCGGCGGCAGGGGGUACAUCCCUGGGUACCCAAUGGGCUCUGGGUGGGAGGACUCGUCGGCUCUCUUGUCAGACAAUUUGUCUGGCGUCAAACGCCCCCGGGACUCGUCGGAGCCUGGCCAGUGCAGAGCGGCCUUACGCACCAGUUCAGCGUGCCCAAGACGUCGUCCGAGAUGGCAACUAUUGAGAAAUUCCUCCAGUUCCAGGACGCCGUGCCUUGUAAGAUCCGUGCCAAGCGGGGGUGCGCCACUCAUCCACGCAGCAUCGCUGAGAGGGUGAGGAGAACAAAGAUCAGUGAGCGAAUCCGAAAGCUGCAAGAACUCGUUCCAAAUAUGGACAAGCAAACCAACACAUCUGACAUGCUGGAUUUGGCUGUCGACUACAUCAAGGAUCUCCAGAAGCAGGUUAAGGUACUAAAGGAGAGCCAAGAUAACUGCACCUGCUCAGCAAGCAAGAACCAGCAGCACUCCUGCUGAAACCGUAAUGCUCACUGUACAUGAAUGACCUCGAAAGCAUGUCCACUCGGGAAAGAAAAAGAUGUAAGACAGCUCUCAUGCAUGUUGUUUCAUGAGGUUUUGAACUGCAGCAGUUGAGAGGCUUUAUCUACCAGGCAGUGUAGCUUUUGUAUGAGCGAAGGGGGAUGAAGCAAUGGCAUCAUCAAGCAUUCAAGUGAUUGGGAGAAGGGUAAAAAAAGUGGGGAGAGAUAUAUAUACAGGAGAAACAACUGUAUAGUUUGGCUGUAGCUUUGCUAUAUAUACACACACGCACUACCCUUUCGGUAGAAAGUGGUUAAUUUACCUCUGUUUACUAGUAGCACCAGCUGUAAAUGUGCCGCAGAUAAACAGUGGAGAAGCUUGGAGGUGUUCAGUGCGAGCGAUAGUGUUUCAACUCUAUGAACAUAUCAUCGUUGGGUUAAUGGGCAUCAUCUACUGGGGUCUGGGGAUAGCCCUGCUUCCUCUCGGACCUCAGGCCUGAAGCUUGUAUGUUGUUCAGCUA